This 270-nucleotide long non-coding RNA is filed under the name Nicotiana benthamiana. RNAcentral describes it as "long non-coding RNA (NBEN_LNC023506)". The record is from RNAcentral. Lineage: Eukaryota; Viridiplantae; Streptophyta; Magnoliopsida; Solanales; Solanaceae.
CCAAGAGCAGGCUUGAAUAGCCAUGGCUGGCCGGAGCAAGGUCGAAGAUGACCGGAAACAACCAUAGAACUGAAAGUGUCUGAGGUUUGGACCAAGCUUCUUCAAGGUCUGGCCUUGAAGACAUGAUAAUCAGGCAAGUAAAAGUCAUAGGAGGCAGAUGCAGGCCUUUAAUGGAAGCCAUUGAUUCAGGCGAUUUUAAGGUGGUGAUAGAAGGUGGCAGCUAGGUUUAAGAGAGAGUUUGAGAGAAGGGGAGAGGGGAUUCAAGGCCAG